GAUGAAGAACGUAGCGAAAUGCGAUAAGUAGUGUGAAUUGCAGAAUUCAGUGAAUCAUCGAAUCUUUGAACGCACAUUGCGCCCCUCGGUAUUCCGUGGGGCAUGCCUGUUCGAGCGUCAUCUACACCCUCAAGCUCUGCUUGGUGUUGGGCGUCUGUCCCGCCUCCGCGCGUGGACUCGCCCCAAAUUCAUUGGCAGCGGUCCUUGCCUCCUCUCGCGCAGCACAUUGCGCUUCUCGAGGGGAUACGGCUCGCGUCCCACAAGCACAUUUACCGUCUUUGACCUCGGAUCAGGUAGGGAUACCCGCUGAACUUAAGCAUAUCAAUAAGCGGAGGA
RNAcentral lists this unclassified non-coding RNA (336 nucleotides) under soil metagenome. RNAcentral describes it as "partial contains 5.8S ribosomal RNA, internal transcribed spacer 2, and large subunit ribosomal RNA". The stretch from base 1 to 120 matches the Rfam family "5.8S ribosomal RNA", at positions 35 to 154 of the family's 154-position model. The record is from RNAcentral.